Sphaerodactylus townsendi is the source of this 1993-nucleotide RNA transcript. It is a transcript of the gene named transmembrane protein 218-like, with no coding region annotated. The transcript is spliced from 2 exons. Lineage: Eukaryota; Metazoa; Chordata; Lepidosauria; Squamata; Sphaerodactylidae. The record is from RefSeq and is a predicted model, not a curated record.
UCUUCGCGCAGACCCUGUUCCGGCUUGCCAGGGCUCAAAGCAUUUACAUCCUCUUCCCCCCGAUUUACCGUUGCCUGCCCUCCAACGAAGCAAAGGCGCUCAUUCGCGGACACUGACUUCGCUCUCCAACCUGACGGACGCACCCAGGUUUGCUGAACGAGGAAGCACACGAGGACGAAGCGGCGACCUCCUUUUCCCCCCGACCCGGGAUGGGUCAGGUACACCAUGGUCCUGGCUGAGGUAGUAGUUUGUGCUGUUGGUCGGGUUGUGACAUUGCCCGCUGUGGAGAUAACUGUGCAAGCUACUGCCUUGCUGGUGCUGGUGAUGAUCAGCUGCGGAUGAAGACAAUGACGACGGGAAUCCCCUUUGUUUUCUCCGGGAUCGCUUUAACGGAAUGGGAUGGCAGCAAAUCCUCCUUCUCCUACAACAAAACGAAUCCCGCUUUGGCUGUUAAGAUGUGUAGCUUUUCUGUUGAAUCUGACUUCAGCCUCCUUAACCUCACAGCAUUGGGAUUUUUAUUUAUUUAUUUUAUUUCUUGGAUUUCUAUACCGCCCCAUCCCCGAAGGGCUCUUUCAGCAAAUGUGUGUGUGUACUGACUUGGAAAUGAAUGGUAUUUCUAGACUACAAAUAUUUUAUAUGUUAUAUUUCAUAGUCACAGACUGAAAAAUGCAAUGUUUAUUAUUAUUAUUAUUAUUAAUUAAUUGAUUAAUUAAUUGAUUAAUUGAUUGAUUGAUUGAUUAAAUUUAUGGGCCGCCUCAUCCCCGAAGGGCUCGAGGCGGCUCACAACAUGACUGUUUCCAGAACAGUAAAUCAAUAUAACAAUAUAUUAUUAAAGUUGUUCGUUUAACUGAAAGAACAUAUGUAUGUUGACAUCGCUUUAUUAUAGGAAGGAAAGCCAGAAUUUGUUGCAUUUGCUGAACGGUGAUUGGACAGCAAUAGAUACUGGUUUGGUCAAUCAAAACUUCUUUAUCUUUAGAUAAAGCUAGUUAAGUUUAGAUGCACUACUGCACUACAGUUGAAGAGAAUUUUAGAUUGUAACAACAUACUAGAUAUAGGGCUAUUUGAAUUAUAAUUUACAAUUGGAUUCUUUUGUAGGGCAAAUUAAUAGCUUAAAUAAGUUUUAAGUGAUUUGAAUGCAUUUUAGCUACCUUGUGUACCCUCUGUUUCUAUAGGGAAACACCACAGUAGUAAAAUAUAGGAAAUAACGCUUCUUGAUUUGAUAAUUUAGGAGAUCUUUCACUUUUAAUAAUAGUGUGUUUUCUAUGUCUUUUUGUUGCCAUGAUGUUUUGUUCCAAGGGUAUUUCUAAACAGAGAUGGCAUAAAUUAGUAUCGAGUUUUGCAGCUGAUUAGUUAUUUUAUUAUCUGGAAUAAUUUAAAUGAAUACGUCUUUAAGUAUGGAGGCUACUAAAGCAGAGAGAAAUAUUUCUCAGUAAAAAUUCUGCUGCACGUCAGCAAGUUUAGCCCUAGUCAGAGUCAUACUAGAUGCAUUGAAAGGUCUUGUAAAAUAGUGUUAUUCUAGUGGUAAUAUUGCUGAGCUGAUUGGUUAACUAAAAGGAUGGGGGGAAAUAUUUCAAGCUUUUACAACCCUUUGAUAGGAAAAGGUAUAUAAGUUCUUGUUUCAGUAAUAAUAAAACGUAAAAAGCAUUUAGUACUGUUAUUAAAUUUAAGUUUUUGUAAAAUAGACAACUUAUGAUUUAUAAAUAGUACCAUAUAAUGAGACACAGUACAUAAGAAGCAUUUGACAAAUAUAAUUGAAAUUCCCAAACAAAAUUAUUAGACAGUAUGAACACCAGUAUUCACUUGUUAAAACUAAUUUGAUCUGCUUGAAAUCAACAUGACCAAUAGACAGUGGAUAAUUUCAGUGAUGCAGCUGGCCUCCACACGGGCCACGGCCUUUACGGCUCUGGCCCCGGCCUGGUGGAACAGGCUCUUCCCCUCCAGCUGUCCGGGCCCUGCGGGACCUCGGUGAGUUCCUUGCAGGGCCUGUAAGACA